GCCUGUGUGGCCUAGUGGUUGGAGCGUUGGACGCAUGGCUCUGGAGACCGGGGUUCGAAUCCCAGCUUGGCCA
Non-coding RNA from Phrynosoma platyrhinos (Desert horned lizard), 73 nucleotides. The record is from the annotation of a GenBank genome assembly. Lineage: Eukaryota; Metazoa; Chordata; Lepidosauria; Squamata; Phrynosomatidae.